ACCUGGAAACAAAGUGGGUAUCAUCAGGACAAAAUGCUACAUUUAAUACCCAGGAUCCAUGACCGCUCAAUGUGCCAGCCAAGUUGGCAUGCUGUCUGUAGAAAGAACAAAUUUAGAAAACAGAAUUAUAACAUCAAUAUUUGCCUUCUUUCCCUCCAGGGAAAAAGCGAUCAGCUCAUACUGUGCUGUUACUGUACUCCCAACAGUUCAACAGAAAGAUUACAGAGGGUGACUUCUGGACAUUUUUUCAUCCAAGCAGAAUGGUGUUGAAAUAACUUUUUUUUUUUUUUUCCAUUUCAAGAGUUAAAAAGAGGCCACUAAAAAGAUGCAUAGGUGGAAGAAGCAGUUGGACCUGAAAAACUUCUAUGAAGAAGGCACAGUAAUGCAAGCGUAGGGGAGCGAAGAUCACUGAGGUGGUUGGCAUAGUGCAAGAGAAAAAGAUCUUGGUUUUAGAAGCUCCUCCUGUAACGACAGGUUUAGAAUUAAGACUGAGUGAAGUCUGAAUUCUUUUCUCCUCGUGACAGAAGAUACUAAGCCAGUGAAAGAAAGAAAUGCUAGCAGUUAGCAAAGCACUGAAGACACAGGAGAAAGAUGCAGAUAAAAGAAUGUAACAUGGAUCAACAUGCCUUGUGAGUGAAUUAAAAAACCUUCUGAGAGUUAGAACAAGGUGGAUUCCAUUUUGCUUUAUGUACCUGUAUGGGAACUGCUGAGUCCCAGCCUGCCCCACUGAUGGAGACCUGUGGGAAGGACCCGGUCAGCCCUGGGAGCACAGGUGAAGGCAAUGCAGCUGUGUGAGCAGGAGUGGAGCCUGGCUGCACCUCUCUCAGACCCCAUUGAAGGGCUGACUGCCACUGGGGAAGGAUCUCUUCCUGGAGAUCCUCCUUGGUGGAGCUUUUCCCUGUGAACCUGGAGUCUUCUGAUACAAGUGAGCAAUCUUCCCUUCCUUUAUAGCACCUUUCUAUUGUGCCAAUCCUUUUGUCAUUACCCCUCUGGUAAACCAGCUUUUCCCAUCAUAUUGAUUGGUCCAAUUGUUACAGUAUCUACCAAAAAGUGUAUCAAGUGUAAGCAUUAAUAGUGUGUAAAUGUGAAA
Molecule: long non-coding RNA, 1090 nt
Organism: Lagopus leucura (white-tailed ptarmigan)
Lineage: Eukaryota; Metazoa; Chordata; Aves; Galliformes; Phasianidae
Exons: 3
Source: RefSeq, a predicted model, not a curated record